This 74-nucleotide transfer RNA is filed under the name Candidatus Berkelbacteria bacterium CG2_30_39_44. Its description in RNAcentral is "tRNA-Gln". It matches the Rfam family "tRNA". Rfam says of the family: Transfer RNA (tRNA) molecules are approximately 80 nucleotides in length. RNAcentral also lists the same sequence under 5 other names. The record is from RNAcentral. Lineage: Bacteria; Candidatus Berkelbacteria.
UCCCGGAUCGUCUAACGGCAGGACACUAGGUUUUGGUCCUAGGAAUCGGGGUUCGAAUCCCUGUCCGGGAAACA